This 464-nucleotide ribosomal RNA is filed under the name uncultured bacterium. Its description in RNAcentral is "partial 16S ribosomal RNA". It matches the Rfam family "Bacterial small subunit ribosomal RNA", at positions 339 to 795 of the family's 1533-position model. The record is from RNAcentral.
CUACGGGAGGCAGCAGUGGGGAAUAUUGCACAAUGGGCGCAAGCCUGAUGCAGCCAUGCCGCGUGUAUGAAGAAGGCCUUCGGGUUGUAAAGUACUUUCAGCGGGGAGGAAGGGAGUAAAGUUAAUACCUUUGCUCAUUGACGUUACCCGCAGAAGAAGCACCGGCUAACUCCGUGCCAGCAGCCGCGGUAAUACGGAGGGUGCAAGAGUUAAUCGGAAUUACUGGGCGUAAAGCGCACGCAGGCGGUUUGUUAAGUCAGAUGUGAAAUCCCCGGGCUCAACCUGGGAACUGCAUCUGAUACUGGCAAGCUUGAGUCUCGUAGAGGGGGGUAGAAUUCCAGGUGUAGCGGUGAAAUGCGUAGAGAUCUGGAGGAAUACCGGUGGCGAAGGCGGCCCCCUGGACGAAGACUGACGCUCAGGUGCGAAAGCGUGGGGAGCAAGCAGGAUUAGAUACCCCCGUAGUC